This 14657-nucleotide long non-coding RNA is filed under the name Citrus maxima (pomelo). Its description in RNAcentral is "long non-coding RNA (CMAX_LNC003299)". Lineage: Eukaryota; Viridiplantae; Streptophyta; Magnoliopsida; Sapindales; Rutaceae. The record is from RNAcentral.
GAAAAUCUGUGUACCCGGAGAAUCUGUUUGUCUCCAGGGAACCUAUAUACUUCGGAUAUGGAAAUAGAUCCAAAGAAAUUUGUGAAGGUAACUCAACAGACCCUAGAGCAGUUGCAGGCAAAUAUAUCUUUUGUGCAUUUGACUAUAAAGGUAACAUAACCGUAAGUCAGCAAUUGGAGGAAGUGCGCAGAACUAGAGCCGCCGGAGCUAUCAUCAGUGCAGACUCAAGGCAAAAUCUGUUUCCCGACGACUUUGACAUGCCUUUCGUUACAGUAAACCUGAAUAACGGAGAGUUAGUGAAGAAGUACAUAAUCAAUGCGGAUAAUGCAACGGUUAGUAUCAAGUUCCAGAUCACGAUAUUGGGCACCAAGCCAUCUCCACAAGUAGCCAAUUUUUCAUCACGAGGGCCUUCUCUUCGAUCUCCAUGGAUUCUAAAACCUGAUAUAUUGGCUCCAGGAGUUGAUAUCUUGGGGGCAUGGGUUCCCAACAGGCCUAUAGCUACAAUUCGUGAUCUUGGUAAGCUACUCACCGAAUAUGCUCUCGAAUCCGGCACAUCAAUGUCUUGCCCUCAUGCAGCUGGUAUAGCCGCGCUGCUUAAAGCCACCCACCGUGAGUGGAGUUCAGCUGCCAUCCGUUCAGCAAUGAUGACAACAGCUGAUGUUCUUGAUAAUGCUUAUGAUAUGAUCACUGACAUAUCAACCGGAGCUGCUGGAACUCCUCUUGAUUUCGGUGCAGGGCAUAUAAAUCCCAACAAGGCCAUGGAUCCAGGACUUGUGUAUGAUAUUGAGAUCCAGGACUAUCUCAACUACUUGUGUGCAAUGAACUACACUAGUCAACAGAUUCGAAUUGUCACAGGGACAUCGGAUUUUACAUGUGAGCAUGGCAAUCUGGAUCUUAAUUAUCCAUCAUUUAUCAUCAUCUUGAACAACAGCAACACUGCUAGCUUCACCUUCAAGAGGGUAUUGACAAAUGUAGCCGAUACCAGGUCAACUUAUACUGCAGCAGUGAAGGCUCCAGUGGGUAUGACAGUGACUGUGGAACCAGCAACAUUAUCCUUUGCCGGAAAGUUUAGCAAAGCUGAGUUCAAUUUGACUGUGAACAUUAAUCUGGGAAAUGCUUUUAGUCCCAAAAGUAACUUUCUUGGAAAUUUUGGGUAUUUGACAUGGUAUGAAGUUAAAGGAAAGCAUACGGUGAGAAGCCCCAUUGUCGCUGCUUUUGCUAAUAAUUCUAGAGGAGUGACAAUAGUUGAAAAUAUAGCAUAGACAACAGUAGAAAGAAUUCAAGUAAUAAACGACUCUUGGCAAAUAGAAAUCCAUCUUAUGCAGAGUUUGUUAUUCGGACUUCCUGUUAAUGUUGUAAGAAAUGACUAGAUGCUUCAUAAUAGUCUUGAGAAUUUCGUCCAAAAUAUUUCAAGUAAGAAAUGUUUUAGGAAAAUAUUAAGGAAGGUUACUGUGAUAUUCAAUAUUUUUAGAAUAAUUUGGAUAUACUUAUAUUUUUGUCGAAAUGGCAGUAAAAGAGUUCUUUUUUUUUUUUUUAACUUUACUAUUUGUAUCAUUAACGAUUUCAGAUCAUUUUGCAAACGAAUCAACCAAUAGUGGCUAAAUCUUAAGCUGCUGGCCAGCAAAAUGAAUUAAUGAAAAUAAACAUCAGACCUAGCCAUGAUCAGUCAAUUUAGCGUUUGAUUUAUUAUGUGUUUCAGUUGAAACAUCAUGUACAUACAUACACAUGCAGGCAAAGAAAGCUCCCACUUAUCAGGUGGAAAAACUGCAGAACUAGCAGACACUUGAAUUUACUUGCAGAUAAGACAAAGAAAGAGAUUGAUGUUUUUUCACAUUUCACGUGAGUCUUUAGAUUAUAUAUAAAUGAAUGGUUAGGAUUAAAUUAAUUAAAUAAAAAGUAACAUUUGUUUCUUCUAUUUAUUGUUUUUCUCUCCUCUACUUCCUUUUUUUUUCUUGUUGGGUCUUCCGUCUCACUUUCCCUCUGUUCUUUAAUUUUUACCAUGACCAUAGACAAAGGGACGUGUGAUUUGAAUGUUUGUCGACGAGGGAACAAUCAAUUUUCAUAUUUCUUUAAAUUUUUAAGGUGAAAUAAACUUUAAUUUCAUUUGAUGACUCUGGUUUGGUAAAAAAUUGUGCAAGAGAAAUUUAUGCAAGUUCAAAGCAACUAUAAUAUAGUUAAGGGAAAUCAAGAGUAAUUAGGGGUGGCUUGAAGUAGAAAAGAAUAAGCCGAAUCUCUAUAUAGGGGUACACAGAUUUGAUGACUCUCAAAUCCUAUUCCAUAAUGUUGUAGGAUGGGAAUUACUUUUAGGAGGCUCAAAAGUGACUUUAAAAAGAUAAAAACUAAUUUUGAUAUUUGUAUUUUUUUUAAAUCACUUUAGUAAAAUCAUCUCAUCCUACAAUAGAUUUGAAAAAUAUGGAAUGAGUAACUUUCAAAAUCUGAUUUUGAAAAUUAGUUUUAUAUCUUAUAUGAUUUCAUAUAUAUCCUCAUAAAUAUUAUAAAAAUCCAAAAUUAUCCUUAUUAAACCAAAAUUAUCCUUAUUAACUUUAAAGAUAUUUUUUGUAUUACCAAUUAUAUUGAGAUAACAAAAUAAAAAUAAAAUUAAUAGUAUAAAAUAUUUAUUUUAGUUAUCAAUUAUUUUAGAUACACGACAUAAAAAUAUUUUAUAUGCUUAUUUAUAAAUGUAUAAAUAAGUUUUAUUUAAUAUUAUAUCUAAUUCAGUCAUUUUUAUUUUUACAAAAAAUUAACAAUAUACAAGAUUCACCAAACAAAUAUGAUUGCUUUUAAUACUCACAAUACUUUUAAAAUUAAAUUUUAUCAAAUAUUUAACUGAUUAACUUCACAACUGAUUAUUUGUACAACACAUAUAACAUCAAUUAUUUUCAAAGUUACAACAUUACCAAACUGGCCCUAAAAAAAAUAGCCCAAAAUAACUUUUAGAAAUUAGAAUUUUUGAUAAUAUAAUUUUAUAAUAUACAAUACCAAAAAUAACCUUAUUUGUUAUACAUAUUUUUGAAAAUACCCAUUACGGUUGUUAAAAAUACCCACCAAACUUGAAUCCAAGCACGACCGGGGCAAUGUGGGCGAGGUACUACCCAGCCUGAGAUGAGGCUGGCCAGUCCUGGCCAUCAGUUGAUAAGCCCAAGGUCCAGUUUGGAACCCGAAUUUUAUAAAAAAAAAUUAUUAAAUAUUAUAUUAUUUUAAAUAUUAUAUUUAUUUGACUCAUCUAUUACAUAUAUUUAAAACCUUAAACAUUUAAAGUUCAUAUUUUUAUGUCCAAUUUCAUUAAAAAUUUUAAAAAUUAUAAAAUAAAUUAAAAACAUAUACAUAUAAUAUUAUAAAAUAAAAAAUCUAGAUUAAAAAACCUAGCCCAAUGUUUUUAAGCUUGGUUCGGUUGUCUAAAAAACAUAUCCAGACCGGGUCCGGGCAUUGCCAUCCCCAAGCCCGAACUUGGGUUUUGCUAUCGCUAAUACCCAUACAACAUAAUUAAAUAACAAAUGUUAAUUAUUUAUAAUUAAAAAAAAAAUUCUAGCACCGUCAAAGGAAGAUUAUUAUCCACCCGGGUAACUGCUCUGGUAGAAGCUAUCCAUGAACAAGAAAAUGUGAACUAGAAGAUACCCGACGAACACCAUUUAAUUUAGUUAUUUCAAUCGCUUCAAAGGUACUAACAAAAUUGGCUAUAGAGGUCAUAUGGCGGUGCACGAGCCACCAAAAUAUCGAAAGCUCCCGUUUCGCCUGCAGUAACUGUGGUAAUUUGAGUGCACCACCAUCAUUUUUAUGUAUUGCGGUAAUUGUGGAUUUUGACGCAGAAAUCUAGUCGUCUAUAAGGUUGACCAGGUUGUCUCGUCAACGCUCACACUGACUCUGACUGGAAUACAACACUUCACGUACUUACCCAAUUAAACAAAUCCAACAACUUGGAUUUGUCUCCUCCCUCCUUCUUUGCCUGCAUUCACAUAAACAAAUCAAGGGUGCCGGUGGCUUUUCCGGCGAAAACCUUCUAAUGCUUAAGUCAGUAUGCAGAGUUUCAGAAAAAACGUUGGAUCUUAGAUUAUGCAAGAUAAUAAUUGCUAAAUUGAAAAGGAGUGUUUUUUAUGGUUUUUAUGGAAAUGAAAUCUGAAAUGAAAAUGACAGAGUUUCCCCCCUCCCCCUUCUUUUUUUUUUAUAUUAAUCACGAGGUAUCCUUGGGAGGGCCCCAACUGUGGGAGGCACCUUUAAGUCCGUACCACAACCCAGACUAGUAGUCUCCACUCGAACCGAGAAGCACAUGUUCUCUCAACAAAGACGACUUCCCUGCCCCUUCUUUUUUUCCCCUUUUCUCUACCUUUUUCCCGGUUUUAUAGGCAGUCGUUCCCUACAUCUAGACCCUUCCCCCACAUCCUCCACACUCGGGUGAUCGUGGGUCGUUAUGGGCUGCGAAAACCGUGCGUACGUUGUUGUGCUUCCCCAAACGGUUUGGACCUGGCGAAAUUGCCGUGUUGAUGUGGGAUCACGCCCACCUUUCAAGUAAUUGGUAUCUGGUCGGGCGAAACUGCACCCAAAGAGUGCUCUGGGAUUAAGAUAUCUGCUUAUAGCUUGUUAAGCCGAGGAGAUUCUUCCUGGACCAAGUAACGAGGACAUGCACAUGAGCUGGUGCUCUUUUAAUUACCCAAACAGUGGAGUUUGAUUCUAGUGGCAAUGUACCCUACUAAGUCGCCAUUUGACGACAGCAUUACAGAGGCUUCCAUAAUUUGGUUGGUUUUGUGCCACUAUCGUACCUCCUUAAUUGGCCAGUGUGACUGCCAUGGUUGCAUAGAACAGAGAAAUUCAAAUCCGUUGGUAGUUGUAGUGCUUUAAUAAGACCAAUUAUUCACCUGCGCCGGCGAUGUUGUGAACAUCAGCAACAUUUUUCCAUUUCAAUUAUUUAAUUUUAUUUUUGUUAAUGAACAUUUUUAUAUUAAUAAUUUUCUGUUAUUAUAAUAGUACAACAGGAAACAAUUUUUUUGUCAUGUUUUAAAUGUGAAAGAUAUAGAUAAUAAUUAUAACUAUUAUUAAUUUAUUCAUUAUGGUAAUUUCAAUGUACAUAUUUCUUUUUACAAAUACGUUACCAAGCAUACAUGCUAAAGUAUUUAGUAAGUGGGGAGGUUAUAACCUAACAUUACCAAAUAUGUGGCUAAAUUAUUUAAAAAAUUGAACUUUUUAAAAUUAUAAAUUAUUUGAGAAACCAACGCAAUCCCAAACACACCGUUAAUAAUAUGUCUAUAUAUAGAAGAUGCUUUUAAACUUCAAAUGUCACAACUCCUUGAGUUGGUGAUUAGAAAUUUAGAAUCAUGGGAAAUUUCACUACUAUCAUGUUGAUUAUCCACUCUCUCUUUCUCUUUGUCUCCUCUGCCACCUCAUUGUCCAUCCCAAGAGGUCGUCAAACAUACAUUAUCCACAUGGACAAAUCGGCAAUGCCAGCUCCAUUUUCCGCCCACCAUCACUAGUACAUGUCCACUCUUUCAUCCCUCUCAUCACCUGAUGGUGAUACCCCAACCCAUCUUUACACCUACAACCAUGUCGUUGAUGGCUUCAGUGCCGUGUUGUCGCAGACCCACCUCGAUCAGGUCCAAAAAUUGCCAGGUCACCAUGCCACAUACAUAGAAACAUUUGGCCACCUCCAUUCCACCUACACCCCAAAAUUUCUUGGCCUAAAGAAAGAUGCAGGGUUAUGGCCAGCUUCAGGUUUUGGCAAUGACAUAAUUGUUGGUGUUCUUCAUACUGGAUUAUGGCCAGAGAGUGACAGCUUUGAAGAUGAAGACAUGCCCCCAGUGCCUGAUAGAUGGCGCGGAACGUGUGAAGUUGGUGUUAAUAGAAAACUGAUAGGGGCACGCUCAUUCAGCAAAGGGAUGAAGCAGUAUGGUUUGAACAUAUCAACAACAGAUGACUACGAUUCUCCCAGAGAUUUCUUGGGUCAUGGCACUCAUACAUCAUCAACAGCACCUGGCAGUUGCGUUCAAAAGGUUGAGUCCUUUGGAUAUGCUAAAGGAACAGCGAUUGGAGUUGCACCAAUGGCCAGGAUUGCUAUGUAUAAAAUAAUGUUCUUCUCCAAUGGCAGUCUUAAGGCAAUGGCAACUGAUAUUCUGGCUGGCAUGGAUCAAGCCAUGGCUGACGGUGUAGAUGUCUUGUCGUUGUCCAUAGGGUUCCCAGCGUCGACAUUUGAUACCAGCCCAAUUGCCACAAGAGCUUUUGCCGCACUGAAGAAAGGAAUUUUCGUUGAAUGUUCAGCAGGAAAUUUAGGACCUGACGCAUACUCUAUAUUCAACGGAGCUCUUGGAUUACAACGGUUGGUGCCGGAACUAUUGACAGAGAGUUGGCUGUUCGCAUAACUCUAGGAAACAGGGAGCUGACUGUUACCAGACAAUCUGUUUACCCUGAGAAUCUUUUUGUCUCAAAAGAACGUACAUACUUCUGAUAUGGAAAUAAAUCUAAAGAAAUUUGUGAUGUUAAUUCAUUAGACGCUAAAUUUUUAGCAGGCAAGUAUAUAUUUUGUGCAUAUGACUAUGAUGGUAACGUAACAGUAUAUCAGCAGUUCAAGGAAGUGCAGAGGAUUGGAGCCGCAGGAGCUGUCUUCAGUUCAGACUCAAGGCAAUACCUUUCAUCCAGUAAUUUCAGCAUGCCUUUUGUCACAGUAAACCCGAAAGAUGGGGAGUUAGUGAAGAAGUACAUAAUCAAUACAGAGAAUGCAAGCGUUAGUAUUAAGUUCCAAAUUACAAAAUUGGGCACUAAACGAGCUCCACAGGUGGCUUAUUUUUCAUCGCGAGGGCCUGAUAGCGAACCACCUUGGAUUCUGAAACCCGAUAUCUUAGCUCCUGGGGUUGAUAUCUUGGCUGCCUGGGUUCCCAAUAGGCCAGUUAAGCCAAUUCGUGAGAGUGAUUAUCUAUUUAGUGAUUAUGCUCUCAUGUCAGGCACAUCAAUAUCAUGCCCUCAUGUAGCUGGCAUAGCCGCGCUGCUUAAAGCAAUGCAGCGUGACUGGAGUUCUGCUGCCAUCCGUUCAGCAAUGAUGACAACUGCUUACUUGCUUGAUACUGCAAACAGUACGAUCACAGACAUAAGAAUUGGAGUUAGCGGAACCCCACUUGAUUUUGGUUCAGGGCAUGUAAAUCCUAAUAAAGCCAUGGAUCCAGGGCUUGUGUAUGAUAUUGAGGUCCAGGAUUAUAUCAACUACUUGUGUGCUUUAAACUACACAAGUCUUCAAAUUAGAGUUCUUACGGGGACAUCAAAUUUUACAUGCGAAAAUGCUAAUCUGGAUCUUAACUAUCCAUCUUUUAUGAUCAUUUUGAACAACACCAAAUCCGCAAGCUUCACCUUCAAGUGGGUGUUGACAAAUGUAGAUGAUACUAGUUCGGUAAAUACAGCUGCGGUGAAGGCUCCAGCAGGUAUGAAAGUUGUUGUGUAACCGGAAACAGCAACCUUUGAUAGAAAAUAUAGCAAAGCUGAGUUCAAUUUGACACUGAGCAUUGAUCUGGGAAUCACGGUGAGUCCAAAAUGGAACUAUCUUGGAAAUUUUGGAUAUCUGACAUGGCAUGAAAAUAUUGGGAAGCAUAUGGUGAGAAGCCCCAUUGUCUCUGCAUUUGCUAAUUCUACCAAGUAAACUUAAGUGUUGUUGGGAAUAUAUCAAAGACAAUAGGAUGUGGAAAAUGAAUCGAGUAAAUAAACAUUGAUAACAUUUUUUUAUAAAAAAAAAAAAAAAAGAAUUUGCCUUCGGAAAGUAUUAAUAAUAACUUGGGCACACAUUUUCUUCAGUAAAAUGAUAUCAGAAGAGACUAAGCAGCUUUUAUGUUUGAAAUAGGAAGUUCUUUUGAUCUUCUUUUUCAAUCCGAUCAAACAAUAGAGACACAAAAUCUUACGCCGUUAUCCAGAAAACGAAAUAAUGAAAAUAAAUAUCAGAGCUAACCAUGAGCAGUCACAUUAGUCUUCGAUUUAUGAUUUAUCAUGUGUUUACAACAAAAUUAUCAUUCACAUAUAUAUAUGCACAGCAAAGAAAACUUCCACUUUUCGGAUGAAACUUAAAGGCAUAUACUGAACCCUGAGUUUACUUAAAGACCACUUUAGUACGUAUUUGAUCGGUUACCCUCACUGGGGAUGAGUCUUACAAUUAGGAAUUUUCAAAGUAAAAAUUCAAAUCCAUACAGGAAUCAUAAACUUUCAUGUCAUCUUUUCUGAAUUCUGUUAGAAAAUGUAGAAGUUAAAAUUGAUUAAGAACCCCAGAGUCCGUAAAGCAUACCUUUACAGGCCCAUCUAAAUAAGUUAAAGGAUAGAAAAAAGGUUACAUGAACCCAGGGCCAGCUCGGUGAUGCAUGAGGAGUUGGGCAGAAUUUAUAAAAUGGGCCUUUAUUGUAAUUAUGAAAUCAAAAGAAGAUUAUUUUUCGAGUUAAAAUGCCAUUUUAUUCUUCAAGCUUUUAAAGAUUAGUCCAGACUAAUUCUUUCAUCUUUUUGGAAUUUUUUACAAAUCAUAUGGAUAGUUUAUGGCAGGUACUUACCGUGAUUACAAAAAAUAAAUAAAUACCUUAGUUAACAAAUGAUAACAGUUAGGCGACCAUUAUCAAAAUUUUGUUUCAGAGACAAUAGUCAUCUAUUUUUUUUUUAUAUGAUAUUACAUUAAAUACUUUAAAUUUUUGUCAGCAUGUAGGUGUCAAGUGACUCGUUGUUUAUCAUUUUAUUUGUAAAUGACAAGUCAUUCAUGUUUUAAAUCUACAAUCAAUAUGCGGUCCUGUACAUUCAAACAAUUGACAUUUAUAAAAUCAGGAUUUUGUGCUUUAUAGUAUUUUUUACACACAUAUAUAGAGGGAUAGGAUUGAGAUUUCUUCUUUUUUAACAUAAUUAUUUACACAUAUUUCUAACCAGUAGAUUACAUCUCAUUUAACGGUCAAAAUUAAAACUAAAUUAUAUCUUUAAAGAACUAUUUCAUAAAAUAGUUGACCCCACUAAUAAUAAUUAAUUUUUUUCUUUUCUCCUUCCUCCUUCCGACUUCUUUGUUCCUUUCUCUUCCAAGAAUGUUCCUAUUUUGUUUUUAAUUGUGUCUUCUUGAAAUUAUAUUAAAUUUUAAAAUUAGAACUAUAUGAAUCUUGUUAUGAUAAUUAUCAAUGUUAAAAGAAAUGCAUACAGAAACUUUUUGUAUUGCAAUGAUAUUAAGUACCCUGUCAAGAUUUAAACUUGAAUCAAACUUUUUUUUUUUCAAAUUUUUUUUUCAGGAAAUGAACUAUUGAAUAAAAUCUUCUGAAAACUAGAAGAAAUCCAUUAGUAGAAACAAAUAGAGGAGCAUUUCAAAUAAGGGCCAAACUAUUAAUAUCAGCAAGUAAUUCUUGCACCAAUUCUGAAUCUAUCCCUUACUCCUGUGGACGAGCUGCCUUUUAUGAUGUUUUAUGCUUUAGGAUCCGUAGGGAGAGGAAAACAAAGAGGUUAUAGAUCAUAAAGAGCAAGAAGAGACAAAAUAGAGAUAAUUAAUUAUAAAUUAAGAUUUUUAUCCAAUUUAUUGAUAGAAAAAAUAAAUAAAUAGGAAGAGACAGAAACAAAGAAAGAAGAAGUUGAGAGAGGAAGGAGAGGGAAAAAAAUUAAAUAUUACUAACGGGUCCACUAGCUUAUUAAUCAAUUCUUUAAAAAAAAAUACAAUUAGGUUUGUUUUAAUCUUCACCAUUAGAUGAAAUAUAAUUUAAUGGUUACAAAUGUGUAUAAAUAAUUGUGUACAAAAGAAAGGCUCCCGAUUUUAUCCGCAUUGCUCGAGCCAGAGCCAGAGCCAAGCAUUUUUCACAUCCCUAAUUAUUUACAUCCACUAUUAUAAAUUUUAUUUGGCAUGUGAAAUAUAAUUUAAUGGUUACAAAUGUGUGUAAAUAAUUAGGGAUGUGAAGGUACAAAGGAACCUCUUCGACAGUGCGAGUAGUAGAUAAUCGAAUAUGUGUGGUCGAUCAAGGGACUCAUGAGGAGAGGCUUGUACCAAGUCUUCUAGUUGACUUGGUUAGAAGUCAACCAGUGGAUUCCCUCCGAAAAAUCAGGAUAGAAGGCUGAUUCACUAACAGUCAUGUAGCAAACUUGGGACAGUCAUUUUGGUUGUUUAUAAAAAUCCCAUAAAAUUCAAAUAAGAUAAGUUAUCAUUUUCUCUCUCCACCACUGAAUUAACUUACUCUCACUCAUAAUUUACCUUUCUUUUUAGAAAUUCUUUCUUCAAUUUUUUUUUUUUUAGUGAUUUUCUUAGAAUCUUUGAGUUUAAGGCAAUAAAAGACAAGCCACGUGAGUUGUGAUAAAAGUUUUUCUAGAAAUCUCAAAUAACUGACUUGAGCGUCGAAGGAUUCAUGCCAGCAAAAUCCCCGAUGUCCCCUAACCGUUCUUUGUGAACACGUGAUUUAACAGGAAAUGCUUGGAUUAAAGGUGCGAAUGCAAACCUCUCCCUAACUAAAAUGAAUUUAAGAGUUAUCUCAGGCGUCUGGUUGCUCUACAACUCGACUAGAUUUCUGCACCAACAUAACACAUAGCCAACAUGUCAUUUUUAUGUUUUACAUUACAAAUGAUGCAUCAUCUAUUAUUUAGAAUUCCACAUUAUUUUAGUAAAAAUAAGAGAUCGUUUGUUUUUUUAAUAAUUACAUGAUAUAAUAAUCACUACAAUUGUAAUUACUAAAAGUAAUACAAGUAAUCCAAAUACUUGAGUUUCAAUUUGAUUCCCAACACUUGAGUUUAAAUUUAAAUCAUUCAUGUAUUAGAUAAUGAAUUUUAAUAACUUAUAAAAUUACUUAUUUGCCAUCCAAAUAGGUGAAUUACUCAAUUUGGAUGGUAAUCACAGUAAUAACUCCAGUUACAAAUACAACUAUUUAUUACAAUUAAAACUACAAUUAUAAUUAUAGUAACAAUAACAAUAUAAUAAACUUUGGUCCUAUAAAUAUACUUGUGUGGCAUAACAUUUUAGACAUGAUAUCUAUAAACUUCAUUGAUUUUAAUGUCGUUGCACAUGGAUUUCUUCAUUUCUUCAAGAAUACUUCUAGAUUUAAGAAAAAACUAAGUCAUGAGACGUAUUUUUUCUGAAAAUUAUUAUUAAAAAAAGUUUUAUCAAUUAACUAAGUGUAGCUUUGAGUGCAAAAUGCAAAAAAGAGAGUAAGAAAUCCUUUUAAGAGCCAACAAAAAAAAGAGUAGCUUUGUUGUUGUUUUACCAAUCAACAUGUUUUAAAGAACGACUAUUAUCAAAUUUUUCUUCGGAAACGACGAGUCGUUUAUUUUUUAUUUCCAUUUCAUCCAGGAAUUGCAAAAGAGUAAUGAUAUAGCCACAAACUCUUGUACAAACUUAUUUUGUACAAACUGACGUGGCAUUAAUUCAUUGGUUGAAUGAAAAUAUAAAAUAAUAAAAACAAAUCAUGUGGGCCAAGUGAUAUUUAAUUCAACCAAUCUUAUCAUGCCACAUCAGUUUGUACAAAAUAAGUUUGUACAAGAGUUUGUAGCUAUAUCAUUACUCAUUGCAAAAACAUAGGCUAAUUCUGGGUAUGACAAUGCUCAAAUGAUCAAAUCUAGCCCAGGCAAUACAUCCGAGCUGGGCUGGACUUUUUAAUUCGGGCCUAAAAGAUCCAGAUUUUAUGUUUUAUAUAAUUGUACAUAUAUUUCUUUAUUUACUUAUAUAUUUUCUUUCUUUAACUUAUUUACAAUUCUAUAAUUUUAAAAUUUUUAAUUUAACGAAAUUAGGCUUGAAAAUAUGUUCUCUAAAUGUUUAAAAUUUCAAAUAUUUGUAAUCGGCAGGCCAAAUAAAUAUAAUUAUUCAAAAUAACAUAUAUUUUUUAAAUACUUUUUUCAUAAAAUAUGGGCUUCUGGGCCGGACCACAGCCUUAUCAAGUGAAGCCCAAGUCUGGUCUAGCCUUAUUCCCAAGUUAGGUCUUAUCCCAUAUAGCCCUAUCACUCGGGCCUGAUUGCACAUUUUUCACAUCUGUAAUAAGAUGUCAUUUUUCUUUUUUUAUUAAACGAUAAGUGAUAUGUGUGUGAAAUAUCAAUAAAAUCCAUAGAUUUGUUUGAUAUAAAGAAUAAAAUAUUUAUGAAAAUCCUUUAAGUAACUUUACUUCUAUAUAAAAUUCAUCAAUUGGUAGUUCAUUUUGAGAUUCAACAUUAUUAUGGUGAAAAUGUAUGGAUACCCAGGCGUGCAGCGAGUUAAGCUUUGGGAUUAUUUGCCGUUAUAUAGCAGUCAUAAAAGCUCAUUUGUGACGGCCAAGGACGGUCACAUAAACCACUUUUUUUUGGGUAGCUUAUACAAUGUACUUCAAUGAUAUUAUUGAAUAAAGACAAAUUGUUAACAUUUACAGUAAUUAGUAAUAAUUAAUUUUUGUAUAUAUAAGAUAAAUACGUAAUAUCCCUUUUUUUCCCCGGAGUUUCAUGAGCUUUUGAUUUUUUUUUUUUUUGAGGAUCUUUUCAAGCAUUUGAAAUUUCUUAAGGGCAUUCAUGAGAAUUUAAAAAUUUUUAGGGGCUUUCAAUGGAAUUUGGAAUGUAUGCAUAGUUAGUCAACUAGUGAACAAAAUUGAUCAUAUUACAUAGAACAUCAAUGGCUCGAGGUUAUUACUUUGUAAUUAAAGUAAUUUGGAAGCUUAGCCAUAUUACAAGUUUUCAGUUUAUGCAUGCUUCGUUGAAGUUCUUUAGAAAUGUGAAGAAUAACUCCAAAUUUCUUUCACUUAUUUAAUUGAAAAAUAUCAUGUUAUUGCAACAAGUCAAAAGGAUUCCUUCCGAGCCAUAAAAUGUCAAAAAGUGAGAGAAGAACAAUGUCUUGAUGCCAAAUAGAAACAGGCAAUUAAGGAUCUAUUCCCAAUUCUUCUUCAUAUGCCUCAAAGAUCCUUUGUAAUAUGAAGACAAUCAUUCUCAAAUUCUAACUUAGAAAAUAUUGUUUGCCUUAUUCUUUGUUCUAAUAAUGAAUGACUCAUGUGGAAGUUCACCCUAGCUAUUAACAGAUCCACAUGCUAAAAAUUAAAAAAAAUAAAAUAAAAUAAGAGCUAUUUUGUACAGUAGCAUCAACUCCCCAAACUACUUGGGGCCAGGGCCUGCUUUUAAUAAUAUGACUUGGUCAUUCCUCUUGUUAAUCUUUAAUUUUAAGAGCAGUUUAGUAGUGAAGAAGCUUGAUAUAAUAAGGUCAAAAUAUCACAUUAUAAUAGAGAAGCAAGACGAAGCUUCCCUUGUUUUCAUUGAACAGUCCUGGCAAAUCAGUCCUCAUAAUAGGUUUAACGAAAAAAAUGAAAUGACAUCUAUUGAUUUCAUCGCCAUAACCCAGAACACAACAUGUGUAUAUAUAGAAUUGAUGCUUUAAGAACUUCAAAUUGUCAUAUCCCCUCAACUCCAAGUUUGUGAGAAAAAUCAUGGCAAAUUUCAAUCCUUUCAUGUUCAUGAUCCUCUUGCUAUUCCUCUAUGUAUCGUAUGCCACCUCAUUGUCCAUGUCAGGAGAUCGUAAGACUUACAUUAUCCACAUGGACAAGGCAGCAAUGCCGGCUCCCUUCUCCCACCACCAUCACUGGUACAUGUCCGUACUUUCAUCCCUAUCAUCAUCUGAUGAUGGUGAUGGUGAUGCCCCAACCCAUCUCUACACCUACAACCAUGUCAUGGAUGGCUUCAGUGCUGUGUUGUCCAAGAACCAACUCGAGCAGCUCCAGAAAAUGCCAGGUCACCAUGCCACAUACCUGGAAUCAUUUGGCCACCUCCAUACUACCCGCACCCCACAAUUUCUUGGCUUAAAGAAACAUGCAGGGGUAUGGCCGGCUGCAGGCUUUGGCAGCGACAUAAUUGUCGGUAUCCUCGAUACCGGAAUCUGGCCGGAGAGUAAGAGCUAUGAUGAUAGAGGCAUGCCGCCGGUGCCUGAGCGAUGGCGCGGCGCAUGUGAAGUUGGUGUUGAGUUUAAUACUUCUCACUGCAACAGAAAGCUGAUAGGGGCACGCUCAUUCAGCAAAGGGAUUCGGCAGAACGGCCUGAACAUAUCAACAACAGAUGACUAUGACUCUCCAAGAGAUUUUUUCGGUCACGGAACUCAUACAUCAUCAACAAUAGGUGGCAGUCGUGUUCAAGAUGUUGAUCACUUCGGAUACGCUAAAGGAACAGCAAUUGGAGUUGCACCAAUGGCUAGGAUUGCAAUGUACAAAGUUCUGUUCUCCAAUGACAAUCUUGCUGCAGCGGAAACUGAUGUUCUCGCCGGCAUGGAUCAAGCGAUAGCUGACGGGGUGGAUAUAAUGUCGUUGUCCUUGGCAUUCCCAGAGACAACAUUUGAUGAGAACCCAAUAGCCAUUGGAGCUUUUGCAGCCUUGAAGAGAGGAAUUUUUGUUGCGUGUUCAGCUGGAAAUUCAGGACCACGUCCGUACUCCAUUCGAAAUGGAGCUCCGUGGAUUACGGCAGUUGGUGCAGGAACUGUUGAUAGAGAGUUUGCAGCUCACGUCACCCUUGGCAAUGAAGAGCUAACAGUCAUUGGAAAAUCUGUGUACCCAGAGAAUCUGUUUGUCUCCAGAGAACCUAUAUACUUCGGAUAUGGAAAUAGAUCCAAAGAAAUUUGUGAACCCAACUCAACUGACUCUAAAGCUGUUGCAGGCAAGUACAUCUUUUGUGCAUUUGACUAUAACGGCAAUGUAACGGUAUAUCAGCAGUUAGAGGAAGUGCGCCAAUCUGGCGCCGCCGGGGCUAUCUUCAGUGCAGACUCGAGGCAACAUCUU